GAUGAACGCUGGCGGCGUGCUUAACACAUGCAAGUCGAACGGAAAGGCCUCAGCUUGCUGGGGUACUCGAGUGGCGAACGGGUGAGUAACACGUGGGUGAUCUGCCCUGCACUUUGGGAUAAGCCCGGGAAACUGGGUCUAAUACCGAAUAUGACCACUUCUUGGAUGUUGUGGUGGAAAGCUUUUGCGGUGUGGGAUGAGCCUGCGGCCUAUCAGCUUGUUGGUGGGGUAAUGGCCUACCAAGGCGGCGACGGGUAUCCGGCCUGAGAGGGUGUACGGACACAUUGGGACUGAGAUACGGCCCAGACUCCUACGGGAGGCAACAGUGGGGAAUAUUGCACAAUGGGCGCAAGCCUGAUGCAGCGACGCCGCGUGGGGGAUGAAGGCCUUCGGGUUGUAAACUCCUUUCGCUAUCGACGAAGCCACUUGUGGUGACGGUAGGUAGAUAAGAAGCACCGGCUAACUACGUGCCAGCCGCCGCCGUAA
RNAcentral lists this ribosomal RNA (486 nucleotides) under uncultured bacterium. RNAcentral's name for it is "partial 16S ribosomal RNA". It matches the Rfam family "Bacterial small subunit ribosomal RNA", at positions 28 to 523 of the family's 1533-position model. The record is from RNAcentral.